UUGUUUAUUUUUGUUUUUAUUUCCAUUACUCCAGGAGCUGGUUCAAAAAAUAUAUUGCUGAGAUUUAUGUCCAAGAGUGUUUUCUUUUUUUUUCCUUUUUUGGGGGGUAUGGGGGAUUGGAAGAUACCAAAGAAACUUUUGAUUUCACCCAGUUAAACAGAGGUCACAAAAAAGCCAAGUAGUCCUGGGGGAGUAGAGAACGGAAGAGCAC
Molecule: non-coding RNA, 211 nt
Organism: Vicugna pacos (alpaca)
Lineage: Eukaryota; Metazoa; Chordata; Mammalia; Artiodactyla; Camelidae
Source: RefSeq, a predicted model, not a curated record